GGAUCGAUGAUGAGAAUAAUUGUCUGAGGAUGCUGAGGGACUCAUUCCAGAUGUCAAUCUGAGGUCCAGAUGUGUGGCCCUCCAAUAGGACAAAUAAGACUCUCAGAGCCUGGCUCUAUUUGGGGAUCCCUCAGUGACAACAUAGUACCUCUGUGAGCGUGCCUUUUCUAUCUCUCCGAAGAGGGCAUUAGCAUCCUGUCUUAUGAGUCAGUAUGCACUUUAGUAUGGUUAGUGACCCAAGACUCACUUUAUUUUGUUCAUUUUGAGCAGAGAAUUGUAGAUAGAUACAUAUAUGGGAAAUAUGUUCUUGAUUAACAAAUGAAAAAAUGAAAAAGUUUCAGUCAAGAAAGGUCAAGGAACUGUGAUGUAUAGUGAAGGCAGGGAACACUGCAUGCCUGUAUUAAAUAUUGACAAAGGAACCAAUUUUAGUGCUUUGUUAUUUUUACUGUUGAGUAUUUUCUGAGACCAUUUCUUUUUCUUCUAUUUUGUUUUGCUGAGGUAGAGGAGGGCUGGAAUGAGGUCCUCCACUUCAGAAAAUAGGGGUGAGUAGUUAAACCAACAUCCUUUGGAAUUCAUAUACGUCAUGCGUUCCAUGCCACAUCCUGAGAUCUUUUUGUUGAUUUUUUUAGUGGCUUACUGGAUAAUAUCUAAAUACUGUAUAUUUUACUUUGGUGAGUCUCUCCACCUUCAUUUCUGAAUCAUUGUCCUUUACAUUUUUAUUCUAUUUGAAUUUUGCAUGAAAUGACAAAUGUAGAAUUUUGCCCAAUUUAUUUUAUUUAUUCAUUUAUUUAUUUGGGAAGACAAAGUCUCUCUCUGUCACCCAGGCUGGAGUACAUUGGCCCAGUCAGAGCUCACUUCAGCUCUUCACCCUGUAGCCCUUAACUCCUGGGCUCAAGUGAUCCUCCACCCUCAGCCUCCCAAGUAUCUAGGAAUACAGUUGUCAUGGGAGGCCAGCCGCCUGCUGGCAAGGAAGAUGGUUGAUUCUUCUGAUCAAUGGAGGCCCUGCAGAGUCCUGUAGUCACUGUGGCCUGGCAUCCAUGGUGCACCCAAUGCUGGUGGAUGGCUUAGGACGAGGCAGUUGCUGUGGGAGGUGUGGUAACUGCUGGAAGGAAGAUGCUCAAUUCUUCUGAGCAACGAAGGCCACACGGAGUCCUGGAUUCUGUGUGGCCUGGCAUCCAUGGCGCACUGUGUGCUGGCAGGUGGCUCAGGACGGUAAGCAUUUCUCUGCCCAGUAUGCUGAAUGAGGGUGUCUUUCGGAUUUCCAAGACCCGCAAGGAGCAGUUUCUCAGCUAACCACUAAUGGCAUGGCGAGUUCCUCUCCUAGAGUGGAUAGUCUGUGCUCAUUGCUCAGUGGCAUCGCUCUAGUGGGGCCGAAGGUCUUUAAGGUCAUUGGCUCACCCACUGCCCAGCCUGUGGUGUCAAAUAUCCUGCCCCUUGCCCCUUCAAAUGUGCUUGGAUCGAUGAUGAGUCCCCAAAAAAAACAUUCCUUGGAAAAGCUGAACAAAAUGAGUGAAAACUCAUACCGUCAUUCUCAUCGGAACUGAGGUCCAGCACGUUGCCUUCCCCGGGGACUGUAGGAGUGAGGGACAACUUCCACUGAUUCCCAUAGGUUCCACCACCCAAGGCAUCCACAGCCAAAGUCUCCCAUCAAAUGCUCAUUAGGAACAUUCCCUUUUUGUGAGGUACACAGGUAGGAGAGUCCUGGGGGGAACGGCUGCUCUGUGAUGGCCUGGUGGCCAUGGAAGCAGACAGAAAUAUCGCAGGCCUAGGGUAGUGUGCGCCUGAUCUUGGCUUGGUGAGCUCCUAGGAAGGGAGACGCGGACCUCGUGGCAGGCGUCUCUGAGCAGAGGACUGAGUCCUUGUUUUCUUGCCGGGGAGAGCACAAGGCCCAGGCCUCAGGCAGAUGUUGGUCCUGAUUUUUGAUUAGCUGAGGACAAGGGAGUGCCAAGGGUGAUGGGGGACAGUGUAUAACAAAGGGUGUUGUGACAGAGAGCCAAAGCCUCUUUGGCCCUCCACCCAGCAUCCAGUCAUGGAGGCCCCCCAGCAGGGAUUUCUUCAUCCCCUGAGCCGUGAGAUGCCCCUGGUGCUAUGGUGGAAGCCUGGACUGGAAGUGGAUGACAAGUUGGCCAGCAGAGGUGUCAGAGGGCAGGUUCCAGGGAAUACAAGGGUCAGACUUGUGCUCCUGGCCCUUGGUCACUUCUCGUCUUCCUGACAGAGUAGUGGGCUCCACUGUUGGGCACAUCUUCCUGGAAGUCGUCUCUUGGCCCGCCAUUGCCGAGCGGCCACACCUGCUGCAGCUCGUGUGAGCAAAUAUGGCUCUGGAUCCUCUUUCCUGCUUUGAAAGCAGCUUCCAUCCUGAAGGCGUCCAGAGGGGGCAGUUAUCAUGGGACACCCGCCAUAUGCUGGCAAGGAAGAUGGUCAGUUCUUCUGAGCCACAAAGGCCCCCAACAUCCUGGAGUUGGUGUUGCCUAGCAUCCACGGUGCGCCCCCUGCUGGUGGAUGGCUCAGGAUGGGGCAGUUGCCGUGGGAGGCCCGCUGCCUGCUGGAAGGAAGAUGGUCAGUUCUUCUGAACCACAAAGGCCCUGCAGAGUCCUGGAGUCUGUGUGGCCUGGCUUCCAGGGUUCACCUCAUGCUGGUGGAUUGCUCAGGAUGGGUGCCGAAGGUCUUUAAGGUCGUCAGCUCACCUACUGCCCAGCCUGUGGUGUCAAAUGUCCUGCCUCUUCAAAUGUGUUUGGAUCGAUGAUGAGUCCCCCCAAAAAAACAUUCCUUGGAAAAGCUGAACAAAAUGAGUGAAAACUCAUACCGUCGUUCUCAGCGGAACUGAGGUCCAGCGCGUUGCCUCCAGCAGGGACUGUUGGAGUGAGGGAGAGCUUCCACUAGUCCCUAUAGGUUCCACCACCCAGGGCAUCCGCAGGGACAGUUGCCGUGGGAGGUCCGCUGCCUGCUGUCAAGGAAGAUGGUCGAUGCUUCUGAGAAACAGGCCCUGCGGGUUCCUGGAUUUGGUGUGGCCUGGCAUCCACGGUGCACCCCGUGCUGGCGGGUGGCCCAGGACGGGGCAGUUGCCUUGAGAGGCCCACCGCCUGCUGGCAUGACAGAUGGUCAGUUCUUCCGAGCAGUGGAAUCUCCAUGGAGUCGUGGAGUCGGUGUGGCCUCGCAUCCACAGUGCACCCUGUGCUGGUGGAUGGCUCAGGACAGGGCAGUUGCCGUGGGAGGCCUGCCGUCUGCUGAAAGGAAGAUGGUUGAUGCUUCUGAGCAAUGAAGGCCCCAUGGAGUCCUGGAUUCGGUGUGGCCUUGCAUCCGUGGUGCACCCCGUGCUGGUGGAUGGCUCAGGACGGGGCAGUUGCCAUGGGAGGCGCAGGCCUGCUGGAAGGAAGAUGGUCGAUUCUCCCAAGCAACAAAGGCCACGUAGAGUCCUGGUUUCAGUGUGGCCUGGUAUCCACAGUGCACCCCGUGCUGGUGGGUGGCUCAGGACGCACACUCAUUUCCUCUGCACCUUCCUGGUGUCAUUGGCAUGGAAGGAAGGCCCUUGUCCAAGAAGGAUGGUCUUCGUCUUGUGUGAUCUUUGAGAUGCCAUGAGGCCCCUGGAUACAAAUGGUGUGGGCUCCUUUGGAGGCUUUUGGAUUUCUCCUGAAUGUGGCGUUGGUAUGGAAGGAAGGCCAGUGACCGCAAGGGAUGACUUUGAUCUUGGGAGAUUUUUGGAGAUGGCAAAGUGCUUCUAAACAUGUUUGGCAUGGUCUCCUUCAGGCUGGUGGAUACCUCAGGAUGGUGGCGUUGGCAUGGAAGGAAGGACUGUGUCUGUGAGGGAUGAUCAUCCUCUCAUGUGAUCCUUGGAGAUGCCAGGAAGCCCCUUGACACAUGUGGCAUGGGCUCCUUCAGAGGCUUUUGGAUCCGUCGUGAAUGUGGCAUGGGCAUGCAAAGAAAGACAGAGGCUGCAAGGGAUAAACUUCAUCUUGGGAGAUCCCUGGAGAUGGCAGGGAACCCAUGGACACAUGUGGCAUGGGCUCCUUUGGGUGCCGGUGGAUCCCUUCAUACGGUAAAGCCAGAGUUGGGUAUCAACCAGAUACACUGCAGGGGAUCAGAGGACAUGGCCUUUGUGUACUGCACAUCUGUCAGAUUUUCUCAAGCACACCCGUGUUUCCUCUUCACCUCCCACGUGGAAGUGAUGAAUUGGCCAGGACCAUGUUGGUGAGGGACAAUCAUCAUCUCAUGUUAACCUCAGAGAAGCCAGGAAGCUCCUGGACACACAUGGUGUAGGCUUCCUUGGAGGCUGUUGGAUCUCUCCUGAAUGUAGUGUUGGUGUAAAAGGCAAACCCGUGUCAUGAGGGAUGGUCAUCAUCUUGUGUGAUCCUUGGAGAUGGCAGGAAGCCCUGGACAUACAUGGUGUGGGGGCUCCUCCAGAGGCUGUUGGGAUCCUCCUGGAUGUGGUGUGGGCAUGGAAGGAAGGCCAGUGGAGACAAUGGAUGAUCUUGUUCUUAGCAGAUCACUGGAUGUGGCAGGGAGUCCUAGGACAUGUGUGGUGUGGGCUUCUUCAGGUGCUGGUGGUGUUGGCAUGAGGAAAGGAGGUAUCUUCGAGGGACAAUCUUCUUCUUGUGCGAUCCUUGGAGAUGCCAUGAGGCCCCUGGACACAUGUGGUGUGGGCUCCUUUGGAGGCUGUUGUAUCCCUUCUGAAUGUGGCGUGGGCAUAGAAGGAAGGCCAGUGGCCACGAGGGACAAUCUUGGUCUUGGGAGAUCCUGGAAAUGAUAGGGAGUCCCUUGAUAUGUGUGGCAUGGGCUCCUUCAGGUGCUAGUGGAUUCCUUAGGAUGGUGGUGUUGGCAUGAAAGGCAGGCUUGUAUCAUGAGGAAUGAUUGUCAUCUUGUCUGAUUCUUGGAGAUGGCAGGAAGCCCCUGGAAACACAUGGUGUGGACUCUUUCACAGGCUGUUGAAACCCUCCUGAAUGUGAGGCCAGAGACAGGCAGACAGCAGAUGUAUUGCAGGGAGCUGGAUGACAUGGCCCUUGGAACCUGUGCACAUGCCUGCCUUUCUGAUGCACGUCCAUGUUUUCUCUGCACCUCCCCGGUGGUGUUGGUAUAAAAAGCAGGCUUACAUCAGCAAGGGAUGAUUGUCGUCUCAUGCGAUCCUGGGAGAUGGCAGAAGUCCCGGGACACAUGGAGUGUGGGCUCUUUCGGAGGCUGUUGGAUCCCUCCUGAAUGUGUUGUGGCCAUGGAAGUAAGGCCAGUGGCUACGAGGGACAGUCUUCAUCUUGGGAGAUCCCUAGAGAGGGCAGGGAGCCCCUUGACAUGUGGAAUGUGAUCUCUGUUGGGUGCUGGUGGAUCCCACAGGUGGUCUGGCAUGGAAGAAGGCCAGAGGCUGCGAUGGAUCAUCUUUGUCUUGGGAGAUUCCUGGAGAUGGUGGGGAGCCCCUGGGCACGUGCAGCAUAUGUGGCGUGGGCUUCUUCAGGUGCUGGUGGAUCCCUCAGGAUGCUUUUCAAGGUUUUUCUAUGAGUUCUGUUAAAGAGUCUGAAAAUGGAGCGUAGAAGACAUGCUUCGAUUUCCAGGAUGGUUGUGUUUUCCAGAGAGGCGGAGGUAAACCACUGGCGCAGCCCUGCCUCCCACAGAUAAUUCCGGGUGCAGUGUUUCAUAUCUAGACUUGGACUUCUAUCCUACCAUACUUCUUUGUGUGCAGUUCAUUGUGGAACCAGCACAGAUUUUCAUACGAAAGUUAUUUCUUUUUAACCUCAAAAAGUGACAGAAUGGAGUGUAUCAUGAAAAAGUCUGACAUCAAAACCUCAAAAUGUGAUAUUGAUUGGGUGAGAUAGAAUUCCAUGGAAUUUCAUUGCCAAACCAGUGAAGUGCUAAUUUUGACAUUUGUACCAGCUAACGUAGCUGUGAAGAAACACACCAAUACACUUCUAAGGACAGCAUAGACCAAGAUCUAGGUUUCAUAUGGAUGAAUUUAUUCUUCCCUUUGAGGCAAGACAAGAAGGAAAGAAAGUAUUGGGAAUAAUGCUGCCCUCCCAUCCUCAAGGGCCAGUGGGAACUCUAAUAUUGAUUGGGUGAGAUACAAUUCCAUGGAAUUUUACCACUGAACCAGUGGAGGGCUAAUUUUGUCAUUUGUACCAGUUAACUAACUUGGGAGGAAACAGAACAACACACUCCUGAGGGUAAAAUGGAAACUCUGAGAGUUUGGUUGGCGGCAUCUAUAUACCAUAGAAACAGAGCCUGGGAAGCAGAACAGUGAGACCCAAGAGAAAUGUUCCUGCCUAUACUUGAUUGGUUUUCACAGAAUUCCAUGGACUUUAACUGCUGAACCAAUGAUGCACUGAUUUUGUCACUUGUACCAGCUAACGCAUCUGGGAGGCAACAAAACAAUACUCUCCUGAGGUUAAUGUGGACCAAAAACUAGAUUUCAUAUAAAAGAGUUUAUUCCUUCUACUUGAGGUGUGACAUGAAGGAAAGUAAUGGAAAUAAUUCUGCCCUCCCAUUCUCAAGGGCCAGGGGGAAUUCAAAUAUUGAACGGAAGUGAUUUUGGAAUUGCAUGGAAUUCUCACUGCCAUCCCAAAGAAAUGCUGAUCUUGUCACUCUUACCUGUUUCAUUCCCUGGGGGCAGAACAAAAGGACGCACUCCAAAGAUCGGCAUGAACCAAGAACUGGGUUUCAUAUAAAAUAUUUUAUUCUGUCCUCUUGAGAUGUGACAUGAGAAAAGUAUUGAGAAUACUUCUAUCACCUCAUCUUCAAGAAUCCGUAGGAAUUCUCCCAUGGUGGACUUUACGGUUAACCUGAACAGGUCUUGGAAAAAGGACUUUAAACAUUCUCCUGUUCUGUGGAAUAAGUAUACUUUUUUCUGGACAUACACCUUGUCAGUGAGUUCCAUGUGAUACUAGAGUUGCAUAGAUUUUUAACCUUUACGCCAAUGAAGAUCUGAGGCAAACAUUGCCCCUUUUUUAGAAGUUUGCAUUUGUCACUGAUAACUGUAAUAAUUGAUCUUGUUGAAAAGCCUGGGAAAUGAAGAUCUGAUAUGUCACUUUUACCGGCUUCCUCAACUGAAAAAGAAUACAAUGAAACACGCUGAGAAUUUUUGUGCUUUCUCAGUCUUGCUGAUGAUCUUUCUAUGGGCCUGAAGCGUGGAGAGUGCCAGAGAGGCUGAUCCUCAGCAGUGUGGCAGAGGAAAGUUGGGUGCGACUAAGGGGUAUGCGGUGCCCACAUGCCACUGGGUCCUCAGCAGUACCACCUGAUUGGAAGUGAUAUUGGUGGAAGACAACAUUUUGCCGCUUGGAAUUCUCACCUCCACACCAAAGAAGUACUGUUUUUGUCAUUUGCACCAGCUUCUUUCUCCAGGAAAGAUCAAAACGAUGCACUGCAAGUGUGAUUGGUCCAGAUAGCUGCCUUAUCCAACUGCCUCCUUUGGACCACUUCAUCAUGGGACAGCUUGAUGCAAUCUACUUGACAAGACCCUGGAACCCCACACCCCUCAUGGAACCAGUGUCCACCUCCCAGUCACAGUGUGACCCCAGGGAACUCUUGCCUGCUUGCUUUAAACCCACCACUUAAAAGUCUCCACAGAAAACCUGUUUGAAUAGUACCCUUGACCCAAUAAGGGCAUUGGCCCCUGGGUGUCUCUCUCUCUCUCUCUCUCUCUCUCUCCCUCUCUCUCCCUCUCUCUCUCUCGCUCCCUGACCUCUGCGUGUGGACUCCAGGCAUGCCAUAUACCCCUCAGGACCUGAAGCAAAAGAAUGAAUUAAAGAAAACUCCAGAGAAUGAGCUGACAACCUACUCCCUGGUCAGUGGCUCUCCAUGCCUACCUGUGGUCUCUUGGACACCCUUGCAGAAGAUGACUUCCUGGGAACUCUUCUGGGAGUGAAUGUUAUCAGCAAAUUCCCAAAACAACACCCCUUAGACAAAAAGCCUCCUCACCUAUGCAUUGCCUAGACCACCCACUAAAGGUGAUGGCCACAAAGAGGUGGAUUUGUUGAGUUGGUGCCAUUCCUUCUACUGCCAGCUUCACCAAAACAAUGACACAGUCUUCCUUCCGCAUGGAGACUCUUCUCUUUCCUGUGUUGCAGUGGAUGCCUCCUGCAGAUAAGAAAUGCUUAACUGAGAAAUGCUCAUGUUGGGAUAUCAUCGAUGAGACUUUAAUUUGGGCAUGGUGACUGUUUCCCUUGCUGCCACUUGACUCAAUCCCAGGAGCCUCAGUAGAGGAUAUAAUAUUACACAAGAUGCUCAAAAUGGUGGAAUUGCUCAGUGCUCCCAUAAAUAUACAUUUAUAAUUUUCAUUUGCCACAUGGUAAACUGAAAAAUACAGACUAUAUUAAAAAGAAACUGCAUGAUUUUUUUUCAAAAAUUCAAAGCAUAUUUAAAUAAUAUAUAAAUUAAAUGCCCUCCUCUCUUCCAAUUCUGUCCCUAUAGUUUUCCUCUAUUAAGUGAACUACAUGCAUUCUUUUAGUGGAUAGAUGCACACAAACACACAAGCCAUUAUGGGGAAGGAUCCACGUGUGUGGCCAUAUUGUAACACAUUUUUCUGCAAAUCACCUCUUUCAUUUAACAGCCCUUAUUCAAUGGCCUUUUUCUUUUUCAGUAGUACAUACACAUCUGUGUCAUUUGUUGAAUGACGACAUGAAUGUUUUGUAGAUAAAAUAUAAUUAAAUGUUUUAAGCAUUUCUCACUCAUAGAUAUUUAUGUUAGCACCAAAUUUCUGUGCAAUGAACCUCCCUAUAUAUCAGUAAUUUUGCAUUUGUCUAUAAUAUCAUAAUAAAUUACUUAUCAGUUGAAUUACUGGGAUUAAGUAUGUGCACACUUUAUAUUUAUAUUUUGAAAAUUAUUGCAAGAUUGCCUUCAAAAAUGUGGUUAACAACUUUAUCUUCAAAUGGCAAUGAAUGAGAUUGCCAGCUUUCCUACAGCCUCACAGACAAUGGAUUUUAUAAAUAUUUAACAUUUUUGCCAAUGUGAUCACCCAAACUAUUGUCUUAAAUUGUAUCUCUUUUGUUUUUGAGUUUGGUCAUUUUUUCAUGUUUAUUAGCCAUCUGUAUUUUUUAAUUUCUUCUUUAUGUCCAAUUUUGUGGGUGGGAGGAGGAUUUAGUCUCUUCCUGAUUUCGAAGAGCUCAUUUACUAUUUCGGGAAAUAAGAUUUGGAUUGUCAACCAUUAUAGCUAUUUUUUACACACUUUUCAACUUUGUUUUUGUUAUAAGAAUGUGUAUGAUUGUUACAUGUCCAAGUAUAACCAUGUUCGCUUUUAUGGCUUCUGAGUUUCAUGUCAUUUUUGGAAAGAUAUAUAUAUUGAGUCCAUAAAACCCUUCACCUAUGUUAAAUUCUAAUUCUUUUGUGUUUUUUUAAUUCAAAUUCUUAAAUCAUGAGAAAUUUUUUUGUUUUGAAAUCUUAAAGUUGCCAAGUUACUUGCCAUUACUUGCGAUUAUUUGCCAAUAAUUGCCCAUUUAUCUGUACCGCCAUCUUGCGCAUAUGCUGUACUCUCAUCUGUGACUGGCUCCAUUUUUGUUCUGUGGAUUUGUGUGUCUCUUCUUCUGCCUCCUGUCUCGUGUCUGCUCGUUGGAAGAAAUUACAGUUUAGACUGCAAUUUCAUCAACUUUAAUAAAUCAAUUGAGGGGAGAAUUGGUUUUUAAAAAUAUUAAGUAAGUCUUCGUAUCCAAGGACAAGGUAUGUCUUUUCUUAUUCAAUAAUUUUAAUUACUGUUAAUAUUUUCACUGUGGUGAUGGGAGUUUUUCUUUUAAUUUAUUUUCUUGUUCAUUUUUUGUAUCUAAAGUUUUUGUUUUGUUUUGUUUUGGGGGUAAGUUGUCACCUUACUGUUUCUUGUUGCUUUUCAGAUUUUUUCAAAGUAUAGACUAAAUCCUUCACAAAUAUUUAAAGUUUUUAUUUUCCCCCUUCAUAUUGAUCCUGAUUUUAGUUAUGUUGACAAAGUCCACAGACUGUUACUAUCAGAACACUUGAACAGUUAUGGAAAUAUUACCUACCCUUGAUUUAAUCAGAGUUUAAUGGUAUGCUUCUUUGGUUUGACUGGCACAUUGUCGCUGGUCAUUUCCUCCCAAAGACCACCAGAAAGAGCUAUGAUCAAGCAAAGCUGAGUUUGUUAAACUUACCUGCAGCAAGGGAAAACACCACCUUGAUAGGGUUUAAUAAUGUUUCAAAAUCAAGAAAUGAGGCUUUGGGGUCUGGGCAGGGAACUAAUUAGAAAUGGGCAAAAUUUGUCAUGCAAUACCUUGUGGGAAAGUGAGAUGAGGUUCUUAAUGUGAGUAUUGAUGGUGAAAUCAUUUUCUAGGUGAGCUGUUUGCCUAUAUAAAGAUGUUAUCAAUGACAGAAGAACUAUUUGCCUAGAUAAACAAACUGAAUUUAUUUAUUGGUUUACAGUUUUAUCUUGCUGGGCAGGACUCUGCUGGGGGUGGUAUCAGGUCUUAUUCCCAAUAGGUAAGUUAUUUGGAUAUGGGUGGUCUUAAUCAUCAAUGUGUAAAAUGCUGAUUUUAAGUGCGAAAUACUUUGUCUACCAUGUUAGGAAAGUCUGCCACCUUUUAUCUUUUUUAAGGAAUUUUAAUCAAAACCAGGUGGUAGAUAUAAUCAAAUUGUUUUGCAGAAUCAAUUUUCCUGUUCUCUUUAAAGACUUUUAUCACUGUGAAUUAAUUUACUAUUAUUGCAACUUCCUUUAAUUCCUUGAAUGAACAGACCCUACUGGUUUUAAAAAUGUUUUAUUCUUUUAAUUUACUACUUAAUUGUGGGUAUUUUAAUUUGAUUUGGAAUUUUUACAAGUAUACAACUAAGUGAAAUUGAUCUGUGAUUUUUCUUUUUUGUGCUAUUUUUGUCAUGUUUUGAUAUCAGAUAUUCUGGUUGUGUUAAAAUAAUUUUGAGGAUUUUCUUCUUAUACUGUGUUCUAGAGUGGGUAAAAAAGCCCUAGUCUCACUAUCAGUGUUUAAGUGAACACAUCAGUGACAUCAUCUGGACUCUCCUUUGUUUUUGCUGGUUUGGAGUUAGGACAUCUAGAAGUUUUUUUCUUUUUUUCCUUUUUUUGUAUGGUUAUUGCUUGUUCUUUGUUUUGUGUCAAAUUUAACCUGUUUUCUCUUAGCAAAUCACAGCUCAUGCAGAUUUUCAAACACAUUAGCCUUGUUAUACAAAGUGUUCUUUCAUCAUUCUAUUAAAUUUCCAUUUUCAUUCCAGUUAUAGUUAUUUCUGCUGUGCCUUUGUUAAUGAAUAAGUUUAAACAGUGGAUGUUUAGCAUCACUAGCCUUCCCCUUCCAUCUCCCUUAAUCAGGACCUUGGUAUAAUUUAUCAGGUAUUUUUUAAGGUUCUAAUUUACUUAUAUAUAUUGUUUCUGUAUUCUUUUGUUUCUUUUCUUAAUAAAUUCUUAAA
RNAcentral lists this long non-coding RNA (11322 nucleotides) under Homo sapiens (human). RNAcentral's name for it is "small nucleolar RNA host gene 14". The stretch from base 1 to 67 matches the Rfam family "Small nucleolar RNA SNORD109A". Lineage: Eukaryota; Metazoa; Chordata; Mammalia; Primates; Hominidae. The record is from RNAcentral.